GCUACUCCUAUGGGAGGCAGCAGUGGGGAAUAUUUGCCACAAUGGGCGAAAGCCUGAGGCAGGGACGCCGCGUGAGGGAUGACGGCCUUGGGUUUGUUAAACCUCUUUCAGCAGGGAAGAAGCGCAAGUGACGGUACCGCCAGAAGAAGCACCGGCUAACUACGUGCCAGCAGCCGCGGUAAUACGUAGGGUGCGAGCCUUGUCCGGAAUUAUUGGGCGUAAAGAGCUUGUAGGUGGUUUGUCGCGUCUGCUGUGAAAAUCCGAGGCUCAACCUCGGACUUGCAGUGGGUACGGGCAGACUAGAGUGUGGUAGGGGAGACUGGAAUUCCUGGUGUAGCGGUGGAAUGCGCAGAUAUCAGGAGGAACACCGAUGGCGAAGGCAGGUCUCUGGGCCAUUACUGACACUGAGAAGCGAAAGCAUGGGGAGCGAACAGGAUUAGAUACCCUGGUAGUCCAUGCCGUAAACGUUGGGAACUAGGUGUGGGUCUCAUUCCACGAGAUCCGUGCCGCAGCUAACGCAUUAAGUUCCCCGCCUGGGGAGUACGGCCGCAAGGCUAAAACUCAAAGGAAUUGACGGGGGCCCGCACAAGCGGCGGAGCAUGCGAGAGUAAUUCGAUGCAACGCGAAGAACCUUACCAAGGCUUGACAUACACCGGAAUCACUCAGAGAUGGGGGUUUUAGG
Molecule: ribosomal RNA, 682 nt
Filed under: Terrabacter sp.
Lineage: Bacteria; Bacillati; Actinomycetota; Actinomycetes; Micrococcales; Intrasporangiaceae
Description: bacterial SSU rRNA
Rfam family: Bacterial small subunit ribosomal RNA
Source: RNAcentral